This 446-nucleotide ribosomal RNA is filed under the name uncultured bacterium. Its description in RNAcentral is "SSU rRNA". It matches the Rfam family "Bacterial small subunit ribosomal RNA", at positions 26 to 518 of the family's 1533-position model. The record is from RNAcentral.
AGAGCGAACGCUGGCGGCAGGCCUAACACAUGCAAGUCGAGCGCCCGUAGCAAUACGGGAGCGGCAGACGGGAUAGUAACACGUGGGAACGCGCCCUUCGGUUCGGAAUAACUCAGGGAAACUUGAGCUAAUACCGGAUACGCCCUUACGGGGAAAGAUUUAUUGCCGAAGGAACGGCCCGCGUCCGAUUAGCUAGUUGGUGAGGUAAUGGCUCACCAAGGCGACGAUCGGUAGCUGGUCUGAGAGGAUGACCAGCAUCACUGGGACUGAGACACGGCCCAGACUCCUACGGGAGGCAGCAGUGGGGAAUAUGGACAAUGGGCGCAAGCCUGAUCCAGCCAUGCCGCGUGGAUGAUGAAGGCCUUAGGGUUGUAAAGUUCUUUUGCCAGGGAGAUAAUGACGGUACCUGGAGAAUAAGCACCGGCUAACUUCGUGCCAGCAGCCGC